This 500-nucleotide ribosomal RNA is filed under the name uncultured bacterium. RNAcentral describes it as "partial 16S ribosomal RNA". It matches the Rfam family "Bacterial small subunit ribosomal RNA", at positions 29 to 523 of the family's 1533-position model. The record is from RNAcentral.
AUUGAACGCUGGCGGCAUGCCUUACACAUGCAAGUCGAACGGCAGCACGGGAGCAAUCCUGGUGGCGAGUGGCGAACGGGUGAGUAAAGUAUCGGAACGUGCCCAGUCGUGGGGGAUAACGUAGCGAAAGUUACGCUAAUACCGCAUACGAUCUAUGGAUGAAAGCGGGGGAUCGCAAGACCUCGCGCGAUUGGAGCGGCCGAUAUAAGAUUCGGUAGUUGGUGGGGUAAAGGCCCACGAAGCCGACGAUCUGUAGCUGGGCUGAGAGGACGACCAGCCAGACUGGGACUGAGACACGGCCCAGACUCCUACGGGAGGCAGCAGUGGGGAAUUUUGGACAAUGGGCGAAAGCCUGAUCCAGCCAUGCCGCGUGCAGGAUGAAGGCCUUCGGGUUGUAAACUGCUUUUGUACGGAACGAAAAGGACUGCCCUAAUACGGUGGUCCCAUGACGGUACCGUAAGAAUAAGCACCGGCUAACUACGUGCCAGCCGCCGCAGUAA